Felis catus (domestic cat) is the source of this 1570-nucleotide RNA transcript. It is a transcript of the gene named myocilin opposite strand, with no coding region annotated. The record is from RefSeq and is a predicted model, not a curated record. The transcript has 3 exons. NCBI's taxonomy places the organism in Eukaryota, Metazoa, Chordata, Mammalia, Carnivora, Felidae.
AGCCUGACUACCGGGGGAUAAAAGACCGGAAGAAGCGAGCCGACGCCAGUGGCGUUUUGGUCUUUUCCUUCUCUGAGGGCGUGGGGUGCAGCAGACGUGUGGGUACAGAGUCUGUAACAAGGGCAUUUCUUCAAGGACCAUGAGCUGAAGUGCGGACGGGGUCACACGCUGAGCUGAUCUGGGAUCAGAAGGUUCGUCGGGGCGGUGAAUCUAAAUUCCUAGAGUCCUCUGAGUGCAAGGCCAUGGCUCGGAAAAGCACAACAGACCACGACAAUAACCUACUUUAUGGAGGAGACCUAGGCUCUGAGUUAUUCCUGAGCCAACUCCAGGAUGGUUUUUCUUCGGUUCCCUAUUUUUUAAAUACUGACCAAAAAAUGAAAAUUAAAAAGACUCUCUACUCUGUGAGCCAAGCACUGCUCUAAGGGCAUAUCACUGAACAAAGCCAUCAAUUCCUGACUCCAUCGAAUGUAUUUGUUGGUUUGCAGUCACCGAGGGAGCUUCCCAGGUGAAAUCGGAAACCAGCCCAUGCGUUCAGAAGGCAGGGAAAGAUGAGAAGAGAGGCCAGCCACCCUGGGCUGGUAGGUGGCAGGUUUAGUGAGCAAAGGGAACUUGCACACAAGGCUUGUCUUGGGUGGCAGCAAGACAAAUGGAUCCUUGCAACUACUUGCCACAUCUUCAAGUUUAUAAGGGGCCUUACCUGGGCUUGGUGACGUCUGCCAUGCGGGUCUUUUCAAAACCACAACACCGUCUCAAGGCUGUGUCCUCGGAGCAGCCUCUGGGAGUGGGAAGACAAACAGAACCCACAUUCCAAGCACGAGGGAAGGAGGUGAGGAGCCUCUGAUUGUGCCGGGGCCAGCUCACGGGCGACGGCGGUCACAUCUCGUUGAUGACUUUCCCCGACACUCCACUCCUCGUGAUGAGUUCUUACAAUCUCGCAAGCCCCACUCUUUUGCAAUGGACGCUGAGUGGUCAGCAAGGGAUCUCACUAGCGUGGGGUGGCUCCUGUGGCAGUUAUCUGGUGCACUGGAGGCAGAUGACACAGCAACAAUACAGGUACAUGCAAGGGAAGUCACAGAUGUACACGAUGACUCCCCCAAAUCAGUGACAAAUUUUUCUACAGGAGUCUAUAAGCUGAAUCCCUGAUUUACCAAGUCCCCUAAGCUGGAAGUCGGAUCAUUCAGGGUGUUCACUUGUGUCAUAUGAUUUAGUAAAGAUGACACCUUCGGGGCGCCUAGGUGGUCAGUCGGUUAAGCAUCCAACUUCAUUCAGCUCGGGUCAUGAUCUCGCAGUUCGUGAGUUUGAUCCCCGUGUCGGGCUGUGUGCUGACAGCUCGGAGCCUGGAGCCUGCUUCAGGUUCUGUGUCUCCCUCUCUCUCUGCUCCACCCCUGCUCCUACUCUCUCUCUCGAAAAUAAACAUUAAAAAAAAUAAAGAUGACACCUUAGCAGACUCAUCAGGUAUGAACACACAACAUUCUGCCCGAAUAAUGUAGUCAUUUCAGUGUUCGGUAAGGACAGGCUUUGUUGGCUAUUAUUUAAGACUUGACAGAUCACUUUAAUAAGGGAUUCUCUA